RNAcentral lists this ribosomal RNA (497 nucleotides) under uncultured bacterium. RNAcentral describes it as "partial 16S ribosomal RNA". It matches the Rfam family "Bacterial small subunit ribosomal RNA", at positions 28 to 507 of the family's 1533-position model. The record is from RNAcentral.
GAUGAACGCUGGCGGCGUGCCUAAUACAUGCAAGUCGAGCGAACAGACGAGGAGCUUGCUCCUCUGACGUUAGCGGCGGACGGGUGAGUAACACGUGGAUAACCUACCUAUAAGACUGGGAUAACUUCGGGAAACCGGAGCUAAUACCGGAUAAUAUAUUGAACCGCAUGGUUCAAUAGUGAAAGACGGUUUUGCUGUCACUUAUAGAUGGAUCCGCGUCGCAUUAGCUAGUUGGUAAGGUAACGGCUUACCAAGGCAACGAUGCGUAGCCGACCUGAGAGGAUGAUCGGCCACACUGGAACUGAGACACGGUCCAGACUCCUACGGGAGGCAGCAGUAGGGAAUCUUCCGCAAUGGGCGAAAGCCUGACGGAGCAACGCCGCGUGAGUGAUGAAGGUCUUCGGAUCGUAAAGCUCUGUUAUUAGGGAAGAACAAAUGUGUAAGUAACUAUGCACGUCUUGACGGUACCUAAUCAGAAAGCCACGGCUAACUACGUG